GUCUAUGGCCAUACCACCCUGAACGUGCCUAAUCUUGUCUGAUCUCAUGAAGCUAAGCAGGGUUGGGCCUGGUUAGUAGUUGGAUGGGAGAAAAUAGGCAAACAGUAAGCA
RNAcentral lists this ribosomal RNA (111 nucleotides) under Propithecus coquereli (Coquerel's sifaka). Lineage: Eukaryota; Metazoa; Chordata; Mammalia; Primates; Indriidae. The record is from RNAcentral.